UGGGGAAUAUUGGACAAUGGGCGAAAGCCUGAUCCAGCCAUGCCGCGUGUGUGAAGAAGGUCUUCGGAUUGUAAAGCACUUUAAGUUGGGAGGAAGGGCAGUAAGCGAUUACCUUGCUGUUUUGACGUUACCGACAGAAUAAGCACCGGCUAACUCUGUGCCAGCAGCCGCGGUAAUACAGAGGGUGCAAGCGUUAAUCGGAAUUACUGGGCGUAAAGCGCGCGUAGGUGGUUCGUUAAGUUGAAUGUGAAAGCCCCGGGUUCAACCUGGGAACUGCAUCCAAAACUGGCGAGCUAGAGUAGGGCAGAGGGUGGUGGAAUUUCCUGUGUAGCGGUGAAAUGCGUAGAUAUAGGAAGGAACACCAGUGGCGAAGGCGACCACCUGGGCUCAUACUGACACUGAGGUGCGAAAGCGUGGGGAGCAAACAGG
This 429-nucleotide ribosomal RNA is filed under the name Pseudomonadota bacterium. RNAcentral's name for it is "Proteobacteria bacterium partial 16S ribosomal RNA". It matches the Rfam family "Bacterial small subunit ribosomal RNA", at positions 355 to 776 of the family's 1533-position model. Lineage: Bacteria; Pseudomonadati; Pseudomonadota. The record is from RNAcentral.